AUGAACUCCAGCUUGCUGGGGGGAUUAGUGGCGAACGGGUGAGUAACACGUGUGUAACCUGCCCUGGACUCUGGGAUAACCCCGAGAAAUCGGAGCUAAUACCGGAUAGGACCUGGAACCGCAUGGUUUUGGGUGGAAAGUUUUUCGGUCUGGGAUGGACUCGCGGCCUAUCAGCUUGUUGGUGAGGUAAUGGCUCACCAAGGCGUCGACGGGUAGCCGGCCUGAGAGGGUGACCGGCCACACUGGGACUGAGACACGGCCCAGACUCCUACGGGAGGCAGCAGUGGGGAAUAUUGCACAAUGGGCGCAAGCCUGAUGCAGCAACGCCGCGUGCGGGAUGACGGCCUUCGGGUUGUAAACCGCUUUUAGUAAGGAAGAAGGGAAGCGCAAGCUUUUUGACGGUACUUGCAGAAAAAGGACCGGCUAACUACGUGCCAGCAGCCGCGGUAAUACGUAGGGUCCGAGCGUUGUCCGGAAUUAUUGGGCGUAAAGAGCUCGUA
RNAcentral lists this ribosomal RNA (500 nucleotides) under Agromyces subbeticus. Its description in RNAcentral is "bacterial SSU rRNA". It matches the Rfam family "Bacterial small subunit ribosomal RNA", at positions 69 to 573 of the family's 1533-position model. Lineage: Bacteria; Bacillati; Actinomycetota; Actinomycetes; Micrococcales; Microbacteriaceae. The record is from RNAcentral.